Molecule: ribosomal RNA, 253 nt
Filed under: uncultured bacterium
Lineage: Bacteria
Description: partial 16S ribosomal RNA
Rfam family: Bacterial small subunit ribosomal RNA
Source: RNAcentral
UACGGGGGGGGCAAGCGUUGUUCGGAAUUACUGGGCGUAAAGGGUUUGUAGGCGGCCAACUAAGUCAGACGUGAAAUCCCUCAGCUUAACUGGGGAACUGCGUCUGAUACUGGAUGGCUUGAGUGCAGGAGAGGGAUGCGGAAUUCCAGGUGUAGCGGUGAAAUGCGUAGAUAUCUGGAGGAACACCGGUGGCGAAGGCGGCAUUCUGGACUGUAACUGACGCUGAGGAGCGAAAGCUAGGGGAGCAAACGGG